CCUACGGGCGACAGCAGUGAGGAAUAUUGGUCAAUGGACGGAAGUCUGAACCAGCCAAGCCGCGUGAAGGAAGAAGGCACAGUGAGUUGUAAACUGCUUUUGUAAAAGGAUAAACCUGAAGACGUGUAUGCAGCUGAGAGUACCGUAAGAAUAAGGAUCGGCUAACUCCGUGCCAGCAGCCGCGGUAAUACGGAGGAUCCAAGCGUUAUCCGGAUUUAUUGGGUUUAAAGGGUGCGUAGGCGGCUUGAUAAGUUCGAGGUGCAAGGUCGGCGCUUAACCCGGGAACGGCCUCUAAUACUGUUGAUCUCGAGUGUAGGUGCGGUAGGCGGCAUG
Molecule: ribosomal RNA, 333 nt
Filed under: uncultured bacterium
Lineage: Bacteria
Description: partial 16S ribosomal RNA
Rfam family: Bacterial small subunit ribosomal RNA
Source: RNAcentral